This 519-nucleotide ribosomal RNA is filed under the name uncultured Bacteroides sp. RNAcentral describes it as "bacterial SSU rRNA". It matches the Rfam family "Bacterial small subunit ribosomal RNA", at positions 8 to 521 of the family's 1533-position model. The record is from RNAcentral. Lineage: Bacteria; Pseudomonadati; Bacteroidota; Bacteroidia; Bacteroidales; Bacteroidaceae.
AGAGUUUGAUCCUGGCUCAGGAUGAACGCUAGCGGCAGGCUUAACACAUGCAAGUCGAGGGGCAGCGGGGAGUAGCAAUACUCCGCCGGCGACCGGCGCACGGGUGCGUAACGCGUAUGCAACCUACCUUUAACAGGGGCAUAACACUGAGAAAUUGGUACUAAUUCCCCAUAACAUUCGAGAAGGCAUCUUCUUGGGUUAAAAACUCCGGUGGUUAAAGAUGGGCAUGCGUUGUAUUAGCUAGUUGGUGAGGUAACGGCUCACCAAGGCGACGAUACAUAGGGGGACUGAGAGGUUAACCCCCCACAUUGGUACUGAGACACGGACCAAACUCCUACGGGAGGCAGCAGUGAGGAAUAUUGGUCAAUGGACGCAAGUCUGAACCAGCCAUGCCGCGUGCAGGAAGACGGCUCUAUGAGUUGUAAACUGCUUUUGUACUAGGGUAAACGCUCUUACGUGUAGGAGCCUGAAAGUAUAGUACGAAUAAGGAUCGGCUAACUCCGUGCCAGCAGCCGCGGU